RNAcentral lists this non-coding RNA (237 nucleotides) under Anoxybacillus sp. RNAcentral's name for it is "T-box sequence". It matches the Rfam family "T-box leader". Rfam says of the family: Uncharged tRNA acts as the effector for transcription antitermination of genes in the T-box leader family. T-boxes are found upstream of many aminoacyl-tRNA synthetase genes and some amino acid biosynthetic genes usually in Gram-positive bacteria. The record is from RNAcentral. Lineage: Bacteria; Bacillati; Bacillota; Bacilli; Caryophanales; Anoxybacillaceae.
CAGCAUGCGAUGAGAAAGAAGAGUACAUGUUGUGAUGCCUUCAGAGAGCUUGUGGUUGGUGGGAACAAGCGGCUAGCAAUAUGGAAUGGGCUUUCGAGCAUCUGGGCUGAACUGGAGAGUAGGCUCAGACGUCUGCCUUGCGUUACAGAGGCGCCAUGCAUGACACAGCAUGGAUCAGAGUGAUUGCACGUUUCUGUGCAAUAACUAGGGUGGCAACGCGGUCCUAUCGUCCCUAAU